GGAGGAAGGCGGGGACGACGUCAAGUCAUCAUGGCCCUUACGACCCAGGGCUACACACGUGCUACAAUGGUAGGUACAGAGGGCAGCUACACAGCGAUGUGAUGCGAAUCUUUCAAAGCCUAUCGUAGUCCAGAUUGGAGUCUGCAACUCGACUCCAUGAAGUAGGAAUCGCUAGUAAUCGCGGAUCAGAAUGCCGCGGUGAAUACGUUCCCGGGCCUUGUACACACCGCCCGU
This 234-nucleotide ribosomal RNA is filed under the name Psychrobacter sp. Its description in RNAcentral is "partial 16S ribosomal RNA". It matches the Rfam family "Bacterial small subunit ribosomal RNA", at positions 1165 to 1397 of the family's 1533-position model. Lineage: Bacteria; Pseudomonadati; Pseudomonadota; Gammaproteobacteria; Moraxellales; Moraxellaceae. The record is from RNAcentral.